Molecule: ribosomal RNA, 329 nt
Filed under: uncultured bacterium
Lineage: Bacteria
Description: bacterial SSU rRNA
Rfam family: Bacterial small subunit ribosomal RNA
Source: RNAcentral
AAUGAACGCUGGCGGCGUGCCUAACACAUGCAAGUCGAACGAGAGUACAGGAGCUUGCUCCUGGGCUCUAGUGGCAGACGGGUGAGUAACGCGUGGACAAUCUACCUCCGAGCGGGGGAUACCCAACCGAAAGGUUGGUUAAUACCGCAUAACACUCCAGGUACUUAGGUACUUGGGCUCAAAGUUGGGGACUCGAGAAAUCGGGCCUGACACUUGGAGAGGAGUUCGCGUCAGAUUAGCUAGUUGGUGGGGUAACGGCCUACCAAGGCAACGAUCUGUAGCCGGCCUGAGAGGGUGAUCGGCCACACUGGAACUGAGACACGGUCCAG